Molecule: long non-coding RNA, 355 nt
Filed under: Actinidia chinensis (golden kiwifruit)
Lineage: Eukaryota; Viridiplantae; Streptophyta; Magnoliopsida; Ericales; Actinidiaceae
Description: long non-coding RNA (ACHI_LNC000354)
Source: RNAcentral
GGACACCUGCGCUCAAUAACGUUGAUAAAUUGAACGAAGCAUUUGAUAAAGCUUUAAAUAAUGGGGAUACUUUUCUGUUGCUGUUUGUGACUGCACUAAUUCUUUAUUUGAUGAAGGAUGUGCUGGUACAGUUGCAAUUUAUGUUUAUGUUGAACAUACUUCCUUAAGACAGAGUUAUGUAGCAAUUUAUGUUUAUGUUGAACAUACUUCCUUAAGACAGAGUUAUGUAAUUUAUGUUUAGCACACCAUUAGGGCUUCAGUUCAUAUGCAAACUCUCUUUUGUUUUGUUUUAGUUUUGACUUCUAUUUAUUCCUGAUUUUUAACUUCAACAUAAUUUGUUAUUAAACAAUUUUUU